Molecule: ribosomal RNA, 222 nt
Filed under: uncultured bacterium
Lineage: Bacteria
Description: partial 16S ribosomal RNA
Rfam family: Bacterial small subunit ribosomal RNA
Source: RNAcentral
GAUCAUGGCUCAGGAUGAACGCUGGCGGCGUGCCUAACACAUGCAAGUCGAACGAAGCACUUUGAUUUGAUUCUUCGGAUGAAGAUUAUUGUGACUGAGUGGCGGACGGGUGAGUAACGCGUGGGUAACCUGCCUCAUACAGGGGGAUAACAGUUAGAAAUGACUGCUAAUACCGCAUAAGACCACAGCACCGCAUGGUGCAGGGGUAAAAACUCCGGUGGU